RNAcentral lists this ribosomal RNA (809 nucleotides) under uncultured bacterium. Its description in RNAcentral is "bacterial SSU rRNA". It matches the Rfam family "Bacterial small subunit ribosomal RNA", at positions 8 to 811 of the family's 1533-position model. The record is from RNAcentral.
AGAGUUUGAUCCUGGCUCAGGAUGAACGCUAGCGACAGGCUUAACACAUGCAAGUCGAGGGGCAGCACAGGUAGCAAUACCGGGUGGCGACCGGCGCACGGGUGAGUAACGCGUAUGCAACUUACCUAUCAGAGGGGGAUAACCCGGCGAAAGUCGGACUAAUACCGCAUGAAGCAGGGGCCCCGCAUGGGGAUAUUUGCUAAAGAUUCAUCGCUGAUAGAUAGGCAUGCGUUCCAUUAGGCAGUUUGCGGGGUAACGGCCCACCAAACCGACGAUGGAUAGGGGUUCUGAGAGGAAGGUCCCCCACAUUGGUACUGAGACACGGACCAAACUCCUACGGGAGGCAGCAGUGAGGAAUAUUGGUCAAUGGCCGAGAGGCUGAACCAGCCAAGUCGCGUGAGGGAUGAAGGUUCUAUGGAUCGUAAACCUCUUUUAUAAGGGAAUAAAGUGCGGGACGUGUCCCGUUUUGUAUGUACCUUAUGAAUAAGGAUCGGCUAACUCCGUGCCAGCAGCCGCGGUAAUACGGAGGAUCCGAGCGUUAUCCGGAUUUAUUGGGUUUAAAGGGUGCGUAGGCGGCCUUUUAAGUCAGCGGUGAAAGUCUGUGGCUCAACCAUAGAAUUGCCGUUGAAACUGGGGGGCUUGAGUAUGUUUGAGGCAGGCGGAAUGCGUGGUGUAGCGGUGAAAUGCAUAGAUAUCACGCAGAACCCCGAUUGCGAAGGCAGCCUGCCAAGCCAUUACUGACGCUGAUGCACGAAAGCGUGGGGAUCAAACAGGAUUAGAUACCCUGGUAGUCCACGCAGUAAACGAUG